This 466-nucleotide ribosomal RNA is filed under the name uncultured bacterium. Its description in RNAcentral is "partial 16S ribosomal RNA". It matches the Rfam family "Bacterial small subunit ribosomal RNA", at positions 339 to 795 of the family's 1533-position model. The record is from RNAcentral.
CUACGGGUCGCUCCAGUGAGGAAUUUUGCGCAAUGGGGGAAACCCUGACGCAGCAACGCCGCGUGAGCGAAGAAGGCCUUCGGGUCGUAAAGCUCUGUCAAGUGGGAAAAAAAUUCUUUGAUGAACAGUCAAAGGACUUGAUGGUACCACUGGAGGAAGCACCGGCUAACUCCGUGCCAGCAGGCCGCGGUAAUACGGAGGGUGCAAGCGAUGUUCGGAAUUACUGGGCGUAAAGAGCGUGUAGGCGGUUUGACAAGUCAGAUGUGAAAGCCCCGGGCUCAACCAGGGGAGUGCAUUUGGAAAGCGUUAUGAAAAGAGUGUGGGAGAGGAGAUGGGAUUCCCUGGGGAAGGGGGAAAAUUCGAACAAAUAGGGGGACUCCCCCGGGGCGAGGGGGAUUCUAAAAACAAAUCUGCCCCGGAAGACGCAAAGUGUGGGGAACAAACCGGAUUAUAAACCCCGGUUUUC